This 495-nucleotide ribosomal RNA is filed under the name uncultured bacterium. Its description in RNAcentral is "partial 16S ribosomal RNA". It matches the Rfam family "Bacterial small subunit ribosomal RNA", at positions 28 to 523 of the family's 1533-position model. The record is from RNAcentral.
GACGAACGCUGGCGGCGUGCUUAACACAUGCAAGUGGAGCGACGAACCAGGGCUUGCCCUGGGGCAGAGCCGCGAACGGGUGAGUAACACGUGGGUUACCUGCCUCGAUGACCGGGACAACCCGAGGAAACUCGGGCUAAUACCGGAUGUGCCCGCAAGGGGAAAGGAAGCUUCGGCCUCCGCAUCGAGAUGGGCCCGCGGCCCAUUAGCUUGUUGGUGAGGUAACGGCUCACCAAGGCUUCGAUGGGUAGCUGGUCUGAGAGGACGAUCAGCAACACUGGGACUGAGACACGGCCCAGACUCCUACGGGAGGCAGCAGUGGGGAAUCUUGCGCAAUGCGCGAAAGCGUGACGCAGCAACGCCGCGUGGGGGAAGAAGGCUUUCGGGUUGUAAACCCCUUUCAGUUGGGACGAAGCUCUGUCGGUUAAUAGCCGGUCGGAGUGACGGUACCUUCACAAGAAGCACCGGCUAACUACGUGCCAGCCGCCGCGGUAA